GAAUGCCCGGAUAGCUCAGUCGGUAGAGCAUUGGACUUUUAAUCCAAGGGUCCAGGGUUCAAGUCCCUGUUCGGGCGGCAAUCU
Molecule: transfer RNA, 84 nt
Filed under: Drosophila melanogaster (fruit fly)
Lineage: Eukaryota; Metazoa; Arthropoda; Insecta; Diptera; Drosophilidae
Description: tRNA:K5:84AB
Rfam family: tRNA (bases 5-77)
About the family: Transfer RNA (tRNA) molecules are approximately 80 nucleotides in length. Their secondary structure includes four short double-helical elements and three loops (D, anti-codon, and T loops). Further hydrogen bonds mediate the characteristic L-shaped molecular structure. tRNAs have two regions of fundamental functional importance: the anti-codon, which is responsible for specific mRNA codon recognition, and the 3' end, to which the tRNAs corresponding amino acid is attached (by aminoacyl-tRNA synthetases). tRNAs cope with the degeneracy of the genetic code in two manners: having more than one tRNA (with a specific anti-codon) for a particular amino acid; and 'wobble' base-pairing, i.e. permitting non-standard base-pairing at the 3rd anti-codon position.
Source: RNAcentral